Molecule: ribosomal RNA, 354 nt
Filed under: Triticum aestivum (bread wheat)
Lineage: Eukaryota; Viridiplantae; Streptophyta; Magnoliopsida; Poales; Poaceae
Description: partial small subunit ribosomal RNA
Source: RNAcentral
AUGCAGUUGGUCAUGGGGGGCCAUACUGCCAUUAAUGUCAAUGGGAAAGUUAGUAAUUUCUUUAAGAACUCUAGAGGCCUACGGCAAGGCGACCCUGCCUCGCCUAUUCUCUUUAACUUUGUGGUGGACCAUCUUUCUAAUAUCUUAUCUAGAGCCACGGUGGCUAGUCAUAUCUCUCAUGUGAGCUUGGGGAGUUGGUUGUUGAGGAGCCAUGAGAAGCCGAACCAGGCGUCUGCAACCAUGGACGUGGCCCAGAGCCAAAUGCCAUCGUGGUUCCUGUGCUCUACAUGCCACGCGAAGAAGGCUACGAUGGAGACCAAGCUUACAAGAAUCAAGAACCUGUUGUUACAAUGA